RNAcentral lists this ribosomal RNA (401 nucleotides) under Chlamydia psittaci. RNAcentral describes it as "bacterial SSU rRNA". It matches the Rfam family "Bacterial small subunit ribosomal RNA", at positions 85 to 472 of the family's 1533-position model. Lineage: Bacteria; Pseudomonadati; Chlamydiota; Chlamydiia; Chlamydiales; Chlamydiaceae. The record is from RNAcentral.
UUGUUAUUUAGUGGCGGAAGGGUUAGUAAUACAUAGAUAAUCUGUCCUCAACUUGGGAAUAACGGUUGGAAACGACCGCUAAUACCGAAUGUGGUAUGUUUAGGCAUCUAAAGCAUAUUAAAGAAGGGGAUCUUCGGACCUUUCGGUUGAGGGAGAGUCUAUGGGAUAUCAGCUUGUUGGUGGGGUAAUGGCCUACCAAGGCUUUGACGUCUAGGCGGAUUGAGAGAUUGACCGCCAACACUGGGACUGAGACACUGCCCAGACUUCUACGGAAGGCUGCAGUCGAGAAUCUUUCGCAAUGGACGAAAGUCUGACGAAGCGACGCCGCGUGUGUGAUGAAGGCUCUAGGGUUGUAAAGCACUUUCGCUUGGGAAUAAGAGAGAUUGGCUAAUAUCCAAUCG